CCUACGGGGGGCAGCAGUGGGGAAUAUUGGGCAUUGGGCGAAAGCCUGACCCAGCAACGCCGCGUGAAGGAAGAAGGCUUUCGGGUUGUAAACUUCUUUUGACAGGGAAGAGCAGAAGACGGUACCUGUCGAAUACGCCACGGCUAACUACGUGCCAGCAGCCGCGGUCAUACGUAGGUGGCAGGCGUUGUCCGGAUUUACUGGGUGUAAAGGGCGUGUAGCCAGGCUGACAAGUCAGAUGUGAAAUCCGGGGGCGCAACCCCCGAACUGAAUUUGCAACUGGUGGUCUUGAGUGUCGGAGAGGCAGGCGGAAUACUUGGUGUAGCGGUGAAAUGCGUAGAUAUUAGGAGGAACACCAGGGGCGAAGGCAGCCUACUGGACGACAACUGACGGUGAGGCGCGAAAGCGUGGGGAGCAAACAGGAUUAGAUACCCCAGUAGUC
RNAcentral lists this ribosomal RNA (442 nucleotides) under uncultured bacterium. RNAcentral's name for it is "partial 16S ribosomal RNA". It matches the Rfam family "Bacterial small subunit ribosomal RNA", at positions 338 to 795 of the family's 1533-position model. The record is from RNAcentral.